CCUACGGGAGGCAGCAGUGAGGAAUAUUGGUCAAUGGUCGGGAGACUGAACCAGCCAAGCCGCGUGAGGGAGGAAGGUACAGAGUAUCGUAAACCUCUCUUGUCAGGGAACAAAGACUGGGACGCGUCCCCGGAUGAGUGUACCUGAAGAAAAAGCAUCGGCUAACUCCGUGCCAGCCGCCGCGGUAAUACGGAGGAUGCGAGCGUUAUCCGGAUUUAUUGGGUUUAAAGGGUGCGCAGGCGGUCUGUUAAGUCAGCGGUCAAAGCCCGGGGCUCAACCCCGGCCCGCCGUUGAAACUGGCAGUCUCGAGUUGGAGAGAAGUAUGCGGAAUGCGCGGUGUAGCGGUGAAAUGCAUAGAUAUCGCGCAGAACUCCGAUUGCGAAGGCAGCAUGCCGGCUCCACACUGACGCUGAGGCACGAAAGCGUGGGUAUCGAACAGGAUUAGAUACCCCUGUAGUC
Molecule: ribosomal RNA, 459 nt
Filed under: uncultured bacterium
Lineage: Bacteria
Description: partial 16S ribosomal RNA
Rfam family: Bacterial small subunit ribosomal RNA
Source: RNAcentral